CGGACAAAAACUUAAGUAGAUUGAAUCAGUCGUGCCGCCUGUGCCUUGCCGAAGAUGGAUUGAUGGUGCAUUUAUUCGGUGAAGAAACCUGUGGACAUAAGAUAUCCCUGCCUGAAAGGAUACUGUAUUGUACCACAAUUGAGGUUAGGUGGCUAGGCUAGGGUAGGCUUACGCAUUCGCACCCCGAUAUACCCGUUUACAAACUGCAAUUUGUAUUAUUUAACGCCCAUAAGUAAAGGUCAAGGCUAAUGAUGGAUUGCCUGUGAAUAUUUGCCACCGCUGCAUCUAUCGUGUAGAUACAUUUUAUGAAUUUCGGUCAAAUUGUCUACGAGUUGAUGCUGCACUCCACACCUUUUGCAAUGAUAUUAAGUCCAC
This 375-nucleotide unclassified non-coding RNA is filed under the name Thrips palmi. RNAcentral's name for it is "putative mediator of RNA polymerase II transcription subunit 26, transcript variant X1". The record is from RNAcentral. Lineage: Eukaryota; Metazoa; Arthropoda; Insecta; Thysanoptera; Thripidae.